Molecule: non-coding RNA, 127 nt
Organism: Populus trichocarpa (black cottonwood)
Lineage: Eukaryota; Viridiplantae; Streptophyta; Magnoliopsida; Malpighiales; Salicaceae
Source: Rfam
UAAUAUUUCUGGGGCAGAUCCUUAUCUAGUUAUGGUAGACUCACACCUAAUUACUUAGAAUCACCUGUUUUUGCAAGUCCGACUAUAUCAUUCUCUCUUAUUCACAAAUUAGGGACUUGAAAAUAAU